GUUAUAGUCUGUUUCACCUUAAUAUCAGUCUGACGUAGCCAUCGAAGAUCGUAUAAACGUCCGCGGACUACAAUAGUUACCUUUUAAAUGGAAUAUUGGCCAAUAAAAAACUCUGGCCAACAAUAUUAAUUCCCUCAUAGGACACUAAUAAUGAGAAAAAAAAUGAAAUUUUAAAGUUAGAGGAGGAAAAAUCAGAGCUAACCACGGUAAACGAGAUUAUAGCGUAGUUCAACAUGGCGUCUCGCUACGCCAAUUCAAACUUAAGGGGAAAAGUAUGUCGUAGUGAAACCAAAUGAGUUGUGGAUGGUAAAUUAAAAGGAAAACAUCCAGAUAAGUUUCAGUAAGAGGCAUCGUUGAUUCGGUUGCAGUUAACUGGUGUCUGGGUCGCGACAAUUUUCAAAAUCAAGAAAUUCGAUAGCGUAGGCAACGUGUCAGUCCGAAAGAGGUCGUUGAAGCGAAAACUUACAACAGACCGUGUAAGCGGUUAUGAUGACUCGGCUAAAACAGCCGUUGGUAGGAAGUUACACCAAUUUUUUUUUCCGUAACGAAUGCCCCACCUUACAUCGUCCGCCGACACAAGUAAACGCGGACGCCGACUUACCGACGUUAUGGCCAACGACUCUCGACAUCUCGGGUUUGUGUAUGAGAAACAUGGUAAUUCCAUGUUUAUCGAACGACCUGCCAUUAUUGCGUGCCGUCACGGGUAUCUUAGCACGAUUAAGCCGUUUCGGAAUGAAAAUCGAACAAUUUAUUACUCG
RNAcentral lists this long non-coding RNA (758 nucleotides) under Androctonus crassicauda. The record is from RNAcentral. Lineage: Eukaryota; Metazoa; Arthropoda; Arachnida; Scorpiones; Buthidae.